Molecule: ribosomal RNA, 1565 nt
Filed under: Lactobacillus sp. Koumiss
Lineage: Bacteria; Bacillati; Bacillota; Bacilli; Lactobacillales; Lactobacillaceae
Description: bacterial SSU rRNA
Rfam family: Bacterial small subunit ribosomal RNA
Source: RNAcentral
UAUGAGAGUUUGAUCCUGGCUCAGGACGAACGCUGGCGGCGUGCCUAAUACAUGCAAGUCGUACGCUUCUUUUUCCACCGGAGCUUGCUCCACCGGAAAAAGAAGAGUGGCGAACGGGUGAGUAACACGUGGGUAACCUGCCCAUCAGAAGGGGAUAACACUUGGAAACAGGUGCUAAUACCGUAUAACAAUCGAAACCGCAUGGUUUUGAUUUGAAAGGCGCUUUCGGGUGUCGCUGAUGGAUGGACCCGCGGUGCAUUAGCUAGUUGGUGAGGUAACGGCUCACCAAGGCUACGAUGCAUAGCCGACCUGAGAGGGUGAUCGGCCACAUUGGGACUGAGACACGGCCCAAACUCCUACGGGAGGCAGCAGUAGGGAAUCUUCGGCAAUGGACGAAAGUCUGACCGAGCAACGCCGCGUGAGUGAAGAAGGUUUUCGGAUCGUAAAACUCUGUUGUUAGAGAAGAACAAGGAUGAGAGUAACUGUUCAUCCCUUGACGGUAUCUAACCAGAAAGCCACGGCUAACUACGUGCCAGCAGCCGCGGUAAUACGUAGGUGGCAAGCGUUGUCCGGAUUUAUUGGGCGUAAAGCGAGCGCAGGCGGUUUCUUAAGUCUGAUGUGAAAGCCCCCGGCUCAACCGGGGAGGGUCAUUGGAAACUGGGAGACUUGAGUGCAGAAGAGGAGAGUGGAAUUCCAUGUGUAGCGGUGAAAUGCGUAGAUAUAUGGAGGAACACCAGUGGCGAAGGCGGCUCUCUGGUCUGUAACUGACGCUGAGGCUCGAAAGCGUGGGGAGCAAACAGGAUUAGAUACCCUGGUAGUCCACGCCGUAAACGAUGAGUGCUAAGUGUUGGAGGGUUUCCGCCCUUCAGUGCUGCAGCUAACGCAUUAAGCACUCCGCCUGGGGAGUACGACCGCAAGGUUGAAACUCAAAGGAAUUGACGGGGGCCCGCACAAGCGGUGGAGCAUGUGGUUUAAUUCGAAGCAACGCGAAGAACCUUACCAGGUCUUGACAUCCUUUGACCACUCUAGAGAUAGAGCUUCCCCUUCGGGGGCAAAGUGACAGGUGGUGCAUGGUUGUCGUCAGCUCGUGUCGUGAGAUGUUGGGUUAAGUCCCGCAACGAGCGCAACCCUUAUUGUUAGUUGCCAUCAUUUAGUUGGGCACUCUAGCAAGACUGCCGGUGACAAACCGGAGGAAGGUGGGGAUGACGUCAAAUCAUCAUGCCCCUUAUGACCUGGGCUACACACGUGCUACAAUGGGAAGUACAACGAGUCGCGAAGCCGCGAGGCUAAGCUAAUCUCUUAAAGCUUCUCUCAGUUCGGAUUGUAGGCUGCAACUCGCCUACAUGAAGCCGGAAUCGCUAGUAAUCGCGGAUCAGCACGCCGCGGUGAAUACGUUCCCGGGCCUUGUACACACCGCCCGUCACACCACGAGAGUUUGUAACACCCGAAGUCGGUGAGGUAACCUUUUGGAGCCAGCCGCCUAAGGUGGGAUAGAUGAUUGGGGUGAAGUCGUAACAAGGUAGCCGUAUCGGAAGGUGCGGCUGGAUCACCUCCUUUCUAAGGAA